UUUUCACUCAAGCCUGGAGUAUUGCUCUGCAUUUCCUGUGCUGUCCUGCACCUCCCGUCCUCCUUUUCCAGUGUCUUUCCCAUAGCUACUAUGGGCCUGGAUCCAUAGGAGAAGGAAGUCCUUUGGCUCAUUGCAGCACUAAGCAUCACAGCUCUGCUUCUAAUCUUGGAAUUUAAGAGUUCUGUUGACCUGGAUUUUCAUUGCU
This 205-nucleotide long non-coding RNA is filed under the name Phasianus colchicus (ring-necked pheasant). RNAcentral describes it as "lncRNA (ENSPCLG00000006375.1)". Lineage: Eukaryota; Metazoa; Chordata; Aves; Galliformes; Phasianidae. The record is from RNAcentral.